Nicotiana tabacum (common tobacco) is the source of this 823-nucleotide non-coding RNA. The record is from RefSeq and is a predicted model, not a curated record. NCBI's taxonomy places the organism in Eukaryota, Viridiplantae, Streptophyta, Magnoliopsida, Solanales, Solanaceae.
GCUGAUAUUUUAGAAUUAGUGGGAGAGAGAGAUAAAGUUAGGGUUAGAAGAAAAUUCAGGGUAAAGCACUUCUCCACUCCCUUCCUUGGCAUAACUCUUCAACCUCCUCCAUACCCACCAAGCUCGUCCAUACCCACCAAAUAGAAUUCCACAACAUUGUAAAUUGGAGAAAGAAACCGUCUUUUGGCGCUGGUUUUUGGGAUUUUUGGCUCCAAAUGAAUGUCAGGAUAACCACUAUAUAUAUAUAUGAGAAAAAUGACUGGAAAAAAUACAUUGCAAAGUGAAGCAAAAUUUCUGAACAGUAUUUUUGGUAGAAUUCUACAAAUCAAUGGCAUCAGGCGGACGUGUCUCUAGACAAACCACAAUUACAGGUGCUUCUACUCAAGCAAGCCGAUUAUCUGAUCCAUCAAAUAGUAAUAAUCCUACUCCUAAUACAGAUGAUUCAACUAGAAUCAGGAAAGGUCGUUGAAGGACAAUGGGAAAAGGUCUUGAGAAAAUGAAGAAGUCUAUAGGGAGAAAGAUGGUUAUAGACAUUCCAGUUGGUAAAGGAAGGCCAGUUAAGGCAAUUCCAUCAGCAAAGCUAUCAAAUGAGUUAGGAAUUAUUGCUCGCAACUUUCUUUCACUUCCAAACAAGUGGAAGGAACUCACAAGAGAUGAUAAGGAUGCAGCAUUAAUUAGAUGCCAUGAGAAGUUUGAAAUUAACUUGGACGAGCAUUACACCAAAGAUAGUUGUGAGGAUAUUCUGAAAAAUAGAAGCCGACAAUGACGCUACAAAUUAAAAAAGCUAUUUGAAAGUGCAAGCUCCGAGGAAGAGGCUCGUAAA